GAAAUCUACCUUUGUGAAAUAUGCCCAGAGCAUUCUCUUGAAGGACACAUCUGCAGAUAAAGCAACUUUAUCAGAGCCUUCUCUCUGCUGAAGAAGGAUAAGAGAAGUGACAUGACUUAUGCUGAUUGUACAGGGAUAUCCAGUUACUAGGAAAAAGAGCCUAGGCUCAACCCAGAUGUUCUGACUCUGUCACAUGCACUAAAUUUUAUCAAAUGACACAAAAUAACAUGACGCAGAAGAGAGGCUAGACGGGUCGAUGGAUUGAAAGGGAAUUAAGCUAUGGUGGUUUACAACUGAUAUGAAGGUUUUAGAAAACAAAAAUCGAAUAACAUCCAUCCUGGAAAAAAGACCAUCUGAGUUAAUGCCCAGGAUAGAGGCUGCUCCUCCAAGUUUGGUCAAGGAAAAAGAAGGUACAUGGAACAGAACCACAUCCUGAAGCAGAGCCAUGGUCCAUGCAUAGCGUACACAUAGGGUAAUCUUAUGUGGAACCCCUAUGUAAAAUCUUAAUUGAAAUUCAAUAAAAUUGCAAUGACCUACCAUAAGCCUGUCUCUCUUCUGGGUAUUUCCCAUGCAUAGAAAAGGAUGAGAAUACCCCAGAGCCUUUCUUCCAGGAGGAAAGGAAAAUACAUAAAAAAUAGGAUGUAAGUGGUGCUGACUCAGCUCCUUGCUACCUGGGGUUUCUCUCUGUGCACAGUCACGGC
RNAcentral lists this long non-coding RNA (701 nucleotides) under Papio anubis (olive baboon). Its description in RNAcentral is "lncRNA (ENSPANG00000040716.1)". The record is from RNAcentral. Lineage: Eukaryota; Metazoa; Chordata; Mammalia; Primates; Cercopithecidae.